Solanum tuberosum (potato) is the source of this 112-nucleotide long non-coding RNA. RefSeq lists it as uncharacterized. The transcript is spliced from 2 exons. The record is from RefSeq and is a predicted model, not a curated record. NCBI's taxonomy places the organism in Eukaryota, Viridiplantae, Streptophyta, Magnoliopsida, Solanales, Solanaceae.
UUUCACCACCCGGACAUAAAGAUACUGCAUUUGCUCAACCAAGUCAUAGGUGCUAGUAAGCUUAUCACCCGUGACCUUCCCUCCACCAAGGUGGGGUUUGGUCUCCUUUAGU